GCCACUUCUCGGAGACAACAGUCUUCUGUACAGUUCUGACGAUAAUUGGAGAAAAAGAAGAAAAUAUUUAGCUCCACAUGUACAGGUUUGGAAACUGAAAGAUGAUCAAAAUGUAUUUAUGGAGCAUUCAAACGUCUUAGUCGAAAAACUCAAACAAUUGCAAAAGAAUGAAAUAUUCGAUAUUUUGGAAUGGAUGAAAUAUUGCACUCUCGAUAUAAUUGCAGACAUAGCAGUAGGAGUUUCUCUACAUUCUCAGACUACGAACGAUCAAGAAUAUGUGUCUGCAAUACACAGGUAAGGAAAAUUUCGUUCCAGAUAUAUUUCUUCAUUAUCUAUGUUAAAUAAUAUAAUGUCACUUUUUAUCUGAUGAAAGUUUUGUAAUGUUCGUGUUAAUGUCGGUAGAAACAAUACGAAAUAAUCCAAAUUUUCAUUGUUUAUCAAUUAACCGAAUAUUAUAAGUUUGUAUAUUAUAAAUGAAGUGUGUUUGCUAUACGUGCUGAUGGUAAUCAAAAGUUGUUAGAACAAUGGAUAGAGAGAAGUAUCGAGAUUCUAAACGAAUACAACGUGUUCAUUAAGUACAGUACGUAUGAUAGAUUUUCAAAUUAAUUUACUUAUCAGCUAUAAUGUUUUAAACGUAAACUUCACGUAUUUCGUACACAGGAGAGACAAUUUGUAAGUUGAACGACAAAAGUUUGACAGGUCAACUUUCCGCAAAGCAUAUCGUUAUCGCAAUAAAUUACUACUAUUCAUCCAUCUUUGUGUCUUUCUCCAGUUGCCUCAGUACUAUAGGAAAAGUCUUUAUGAUAGCGAAAACAUAACGUUUAAACUUUUAAUCACAAUAUAAAAAUAUACAGUCUAUCAACUUAUUUCUAACAUUACUCAAAAAUAAAUUAAUUACGAUAUGAAAUAAUUACAAAAUUUCCAUUUUUGCA
Molecule: long non-coding RNA, 932 nt
Organism: Centruroides sculpturatus (bark scorpion)
Lineage: Eukaryota; Metazoa; Arthropoda; Arachnida; Scorpiones; Buthidae
Exons: 3
Source: RefSeq, a predicted model, not a curated record